Molecule: long non-coding RNA, 405 nt
Organism: Daphnia pulicaria
Lineage: Eukaryota; Metazoa; Arthropoda; Branchiopoda; Diplostraca; Daphniidae
Exons: 2
Source: RefSeq, a predicted model, not a curated record
CAAUAAAUGUGAGGAGAUGGCUAUAGUUCAGCAAGAAAAUGAACGUUUGUUGAAAGAACUCGAGCAGACUAAGGAAACGUUAUCAGAUGUCCAGGCGGAAUUGGAACAAAGCAAUCUACUUUUGACUGAUGCAAAUGAGAGACUUGACGUCAAGGAAGAGGAACUCGUGAAUCUAGAAGAAAAGUUAAUGAAAGGUAAUGGCCAGUUCGGGCAUCUUAACACAGAAUUACGUGAAGUUCAAAGUGGAUUUUAAACUAAUAUCAAAUUUAUUAUAUUCACGUUUUGUUUUGGUACGCCUACAAUGAAGCUGUCAAAUUCCUGACGGAGUGAUUUAUGGGAACUAAGUGUGACUCUGUGAGAUUGUAAUUGUGUCAACUGCUGAAGAAAUAAACCUUGUGAAAACUA